Molecule: non-coding RNA, 49 nt
Filed under: Trypanosoma brucei brucei
Lineage: Eukaryota; Euglenozoa; Kinetoplastea; Trypanosomatida; Trypanosomatidae
Source: RNAcentral
AAUAUACAACAAUAUAAGAUGACAAUGAUAGAGACUGUGAAAAUUAGUA